AGUGAACGCUGGCGGUAGGCCUAACACAUGCAAGUCGAACGGCAGCACAGUAAGAGCUUGCUCUUACGGGUGGCGAGUGGCGGACGGGUGAGGAAUACAUCGGAAUCUACUUUUUCGUGGGGGAUAACGUAGGGAAACUUACGCUAAUACCGCAUACGACCUACGGGUGAAAGCAGGGGAUCUUCGGACCUUGCGCGAUUGAAUGAGCCGAUGUCGGAUUAGCUAGUUGGCGGGGUAAAGGCCCACCAAGGCGACGAUCCGUAGCUGGUCUGAGAGGAUGAUCAGCCACACGGGAACUGAGACACGGUCCAGACUCCUACGGGAGGCAGCAGUGGGGAAUAUUGGACAAUGGGCGCAAGCCUGAUCCAGCCAUACCGCGUGGGUGAAGAAGGCCUUCGGGUUGUAAAGCCCUUUUGUUGGGAAAGAAAAGCAGCAGGUUAACACCCCGCUGUUCUGACGGUACCCAAAGAAUAAGCACCGGCUAACUUCGU
RNAcentral lists this ribosomal RNA (491 nucleotides) under uncultured bacterium. RNAcentral's name for it is "partial 16S ribosomal RNA". It matches the Rfam family "Bacterial small subunit ribosomal RNA", at positions 29 to 506 of the family's 1533-position model. The record is from RNAcentral.